AUUGAACGCUGGCGGCAGGCCUAACACAUGCAAGUCGAGCGGUAGAGAGAAGCUUGCUUCUCUUGAGAGCGGCGGACGGGUGAGUAAUGCCUAGGAAUCUGCCUGGUAGUGGGGAAUAACGUUCGGAAACGGACGCUAAUACCGCAUACGUCCUACGGGAGAAAGCAGGGGACCUUCGGGCCUUGCGCUAUCAGAUGAGCCUAGGUCGGAUUAGCUAGUUGGUGGGGUAAUGGCUCACCAAGGCGACGAUCCGUAACUGGUCUGAGAGGAUGAUCAGUCACACUGGAACUGAGACACGGUCCAGACUCCUACGGGAGGCAGCAGUGGGGAAUAUUGGACAAUGGGCGAAAGCCUGAUCCAGCCAUGCCGCGUGUGUGAAGAAGGUCUUCGGAUUGUAAAGCACUUUAAGUUGGGAAGAAGGGCAGUAAAUUAAUACUUUGCUGUUUUGACGUUACCGACAGAAUAAGCACCGGCUAACUCUGUG
This 484-nucleotide ribosomal RNA is filed under the name uncultured bacterium. RNAcentral describes it as "partial 16S ribosomal RNA". It matches the Rfam family "Bacterial small subunit ribosomal RNA", at positions 30 to 507 of the family's 1533-position model. The record is from RNAcentral.